Long non-coding RNA from Mya arenaria, 838 nucleotides. RefSeq lists it as uncharacterized. The transcript has 2 exons. The record is from RefSeq and is a predicted model, not a curated record. Lineage: Eukaryota; Metazoa; Mollusca; Bivalvia; Myida; Myidae.
CUGUAAUGUUAGACGUGUUGAGGCCGUCCUCGCAUAAAUACAAGGAUUUACUUUACAAAGAAAGAAGACGGCUAAAGCGGGUGUAUGCGAGCUUGAAGACAUCGAAGAUGAUAAAGCUAGUGACAUAUACACGACGGAGGGUAUUGGUGCAAACAUCGUCAGUAAACCGUUCAAACAGCGCGCAGGGCGAACAGUCAAACUGGGUCAGUCACAAAAUAACUAUGAUGUCAUAAAGUCUGAUGUUGACGGAGAAUUGGGUUAUAUGGCCGGGCAGGCGCCUGACAUGCCGCUAAACUUGACAGAGGAUGUGUUACAGUAUUAUUACCAGCAACCUGUGAACAAAGACAGGCGUAUCGCAAGGUGGCUUGUGGACAUUAAAGGAAAGUCUCAGAAUCAGCUCCCUGCACACUUGCCAGAUAUAAGUGCUUCUAACAGGAACGUGACUUUAACACUGGACGAAGUUUGAUUGAGAGAAUUUCGCACAAGUGCUCUGUUUCUCUGAAUAAUUCAAAUGCACAUUUGUCAUGGUAUAUUUUAGAACGGCAAUUGUUGCCAUCAUUUUUACGCAUGUUAAGUUUAAGUAUAUGGUACAGAACGUACACUACUCUACAUUAAGAUAACUAAAAUAAUAGGUGAGGUUUAGUGGCACUAAUCCACACUAGAAAACCUCAAUGUUAUACACAUUGGACAGCGUUUAUUUGUUUUCUUUAAGGUUUAUACAACUGUUGGUCAAAAUCUGCUAAAACGUAAACAUGUAUGAAAAUGUCCAAUACAUCCUGUAUUGUAUUCUGAUAUUCAAGAAAGACAUUACUAUGCAUGAAUAAAACCUAAAAUACUG